UACGUAGGUGGCAAGCGUUGUUCGGAAUUACUGGGCGUAAAGCGCGCGUAGGCGGUUAGCAUAGUUAGGUGUGAAAGCCCCGGGCUCAACCCGGGAAUUGCACUUGAUACUGGCUGACUGGAGUUCGGAAGAGGAGAGUGGAAUUCCCAGUGUAGAGGUGAAAUUCGUAGAUAUUGGGAAGAACACCAGUGGCGAAGGCGGCUCUCUGGUCCGACACUGACGCUGAGGCGCGAAAGCGUGGGGAGCAAACAGG
This 253-nucleotide unclassified non-coding RNA is filed under the name uncultured Alphaproteobacteria bacterium. RNAcentral describes it as "contains 16S-23S intergenic spacer region". It matches the Rfam family "Bacterial small subunit ribosomal RNA", at positions 524 to 776 of the family's 1533-position model. Lineage: Bacteria; Pseudomonadati; Pseudomonadota; Alphaproteobacteria. The record is from RNAcentral.